GUGCCAGCAGCCGCGGUAAGACGGAGGGUGCAAGCGUUGUUCGGAAUUACUAGGCGUAAAGAGCGUGUAGGUGGUUAGCUAAGUCGGAUGUGAAAAUUCCGAGCUUAACUCGGAACCUGCAUUCGAAACUGGUUAACUUGAGUGUGGGAGAGGAGAGUGGAAUUCCUAGUGUAGCGGUGAAAUGCGUAGAUAUUAGGAAGAACACCGGUGGCGAAGGCGACUCUCUGGCCUAAAACUGACACUGAGACGCGAAAGCGUGGGGAGCGAACAGGAUUAGAUACCCUGGUAGUCCACGCUGUAAACGAUGGGCAUUAGGUGUAGGAGGUAUCCAAUCCUUCUGUGCCGAAGCUAACGCAUUAAAUGCCCCGCCUGGGGAGUACGGUCGCAAGGCUGAAACUUAAAUGAAUUGACGGGG
RNAcentral lists this ribosomal RNA (415 nucleotides) under uncultured prokaryote. Its description in RNAcentral is "bacterial SSU rRNA". It matches the Rfam family "Bacterial small subunit ribosomal RNA", at positions 505 to 918 of the family's 1533-position model. The record is from RNAcentral.